GCAUCAAUAUGGUGACCUCCCAAGAGCGGGGGACCACCAGGUUGCCUAAGGAGGGGUGAACUGGCCCAGGUUGGAAACAGAGCAGGUCAAAACUCCUGUGC
Callithrix jacchus (white-tufted-ear marmoset) is the source of this 101-nucleotide unclassified non-coding RNA. It matches the Rfam family "Metazoan signal recognition particle RNA". From Rfam's summary of the family: The signal recognition particle (SRP) is a universally conserved ribonucleoprotein. It is involved in the co-translational targeting of proteins to membranes. The record is from Ensembl. Lineage: Eukaryota; Metazoa; Chordata; Mammalia; Primates; Cebidae.